Molecule: ribosomal RNA, 446 nt
Filed under: uncultured bacterium
Lineage: Bacteria
Description: partial 16S ribosomal RNA
Rfam family: Bacterial small subunit ribosomal RNA
Source: RNAcentral
CCUACGGGUGGCAGCAGUAGGGAAUUUUCGGCAAUGGGGGGAACCCUGACCGAGCAACGCCGCGUGAACGAAGAAGUUAUUCGGAAUGUAAAGUUCUUUUAACAGGGAAGAAAGAGAAAUUUGACGGUACCUGAUGAAUAAGCUCCGCCUAACUACGUGCCAGCAGCCGCGGUAAUACGUAGGGAGCAAGCGUUAUCCGGAAUUAUUGGGCGAAAAGGAUGCGUAGAUGACAUAGUAAGUCUUUUGUAAAAAUGCUGGGCUCAACCCCGUAGGGCAAAAGAUACUGCAAAGCUAGAGUAUGAGAGAGGCAAGUGGAACUACAUGUGUAGCGGUAAAAUGCGUAGAUAUAUGUAAGAACACCAGUUGCGAAGGCGGCUUGCUGGCUCGAUACCGACAUUGAGGCACGAAAGCGUGGGGAGCAAACAGGAUUAGAUACCCGAGUAGUC